CCAGCUGUAAAUGGAAUCUUAAUAACAGUGAACAGGGCCUGUGUAGCCUUCAUCUUCUGUACCGCAAAGGUGAAUUCCACUCCCGCAUGGUUGUGUUGGUUGAUUUCCACAUGCACUUCCCUAUUCAGUGGUCUCCAGACUCCCGCUAGCCUCCCCAGGCCAAUGGCAGCUGUUCUCCUUCUGAGCCACUGCACUCCUGCUCCAGAACAGUCUGCCUUUCCCACGCCGUGCCCUUGCUUCUCCCUGGCACGGUGCAGCUCCCCCCCGCUGCCCCGACCCCGCACCCCUCCCGGGAUCCCCAGCCCACCCCACGGCAGUGUUUUGUGUGCUGGUUGUGCCCAGGCGUGGGCCAAGGGCAGGAUGAGGCUUCCCUCCUCCCACCCACCAGCCCAUCGCCUGACCUGCCGCUCUCUCUGACCCACCACGGUGCCCCCAGAGGAACUUCCUGAAGUGCUCCGAAGACAACCCGCUCUUUGCCGGCAUCGACUGUGAGGUGUUCGAGUCGCGUUUCCCCACCACCAUGGCAUUGUCCGUGCUCGUGACCAUUGAAAUGUGCAAUGCUCUCAACAGCGUCUCAGAGAACCAGUCGCUGCUGCGGAUGCCGCCCUGGAUGAACCCCUGGCUGCUGGCAGCUGUGGCCAUGUCCAUGGCCCUGCACUUCCUCAUCCUGCUCGUGCCGCCCCUGCCUCUCAUUUUCCAGGUGACCCCACUGAGCGGGCGCCAGUGGGUGGUGGUGCUCCAGAUAUCUCUGCCUGUCAUCCUGCUGGAUGAGGCCCUCAAGUACCUGUCCCGGAACCACAUGCACGAAGAAAAGAGCAAGAAGUGAGCGCUGGGAACACAGUGGAGUCUCCGGUGUGUGCCUCAGACUGAUGGUGCCCAUGUGUUCGCCUCCACCCCCCACCCCUGCCACCACACUCGCCCACUUGCCCACUGGGUCCUGCCAGAUAAAUGACAGGCCCGAGGCCAGCACGGCCAUCCCCGGGCCCCA
This 988-nucleotide small RNA is filed under the name Pongo abelii (Sumatran orangutan). RNAcentral's name for it is "retained intron". Lineage: Eukaryota; Metazoa; Chordata; Mammalia; Primates; Hominidae. The record is from RNAcentral.